GAGUUUGAUCCUGGCUCAGAUUGAACGCUGGCGGCAUGCCUUACACAUGCAAGUCGAACGGCAGCACGGGAGCUUGCUCCUGGUGGCGAGUGGCGAACGGGUGAGUAAUGCAUCGGAACGUAUCCUGGAGUGGGGGAUAACGUAGCGAAAGUUACGCUAAUACCGCAUAUUCUGUGAGCAGGAAAGCGGGGGACCUUCGGGCCUCGCGCUCUUGGAGCGGCCGAUGUCGGAUUAGCUAGUUGGUGAGGUAAAGGCUCACCAAGGCGACGAUCCGUAGCAGGUCUGAGAGGAUGAUCUGCCACACUGGAACUGAGACACGGUCCAGACUCCUACGGGAGGCAGCAGUGGGGAAUUUUGGACAAUGGGGGCAACCCUGAUCCAGCCAUGCCGCGUGAGUGAAGAAGGCCUCGGUUGUAA
RNAcentral lists this ribosomal RNA (417 nucleotides) under bacterium enrichment culture clone ALO1_GLFRUDD03F18T1. RNAcentral's name for it is "bacterial SSU rRNA". It matches the Rfam family "Bacterial small subunit ribosomal RNA", at positions 9 to 428 of the family's 1533-position model. The record is from RNAcentral. RNAcentral also lists the same sequence under 13 other names.